Molecule: long non-coding RNA, 2024 nt
Organism: Triticum urartu
Lineage: Eukaryota; Viridiplantae; Streptophyta; Magnoliopsida; Poales; Poaceae
Source: RefSeq, a predicted model, not a curated record
UCCGUGAUUCUAGCGGAAGAAAAAAAACGUUUUUUCACGCAAAAAUAAUUUUCCCUGAAUUUUUUGUCCAAAAGCUAAGAAAAACUUGCAAAGAUCACACCUUCUCUUGGUGAUAACGCCUCCAUGAUCAAGGAAUCGGUGACCCCUUCAUGUGGUUUGCUCCAAGCACCAACAAGACUGGCCGGCGUUAAUAUUAGGUGUAGCUAUAGAAUAAUAAUAAUAAUAAUAAUAAUAAUAAUAAUAAUAAUAAUAAUAAUAAUAGGUAUUAAGGACAGUAAAACCGAGCCUAAAGCGAGCUCUCUCACGCCCCUAAUGUUUCUGGCCAUCGGAUUUCGUGUUUGAUCAGUUUCUAGCCAUCAGAUCUUUCUCUAAGGAUAGUUUACCGCGAUUUGGGCUGGCCGUCCUGAUAGGCUGCUAUUCUGGAGACCUUUUCGGAGGCCUGUGGUUAAUUGGGCUUCUACGGGCUGCUAUACAAGCCCAUUUGGGUAACCGACGACGGACCAACGACGUGUUGCCUUAUCCGGAAAAAAAACUGUUCGCUCGACACAGCACGAAACGGGUCAGUCGUGCGACAGAGAGUGGAUCCAGCGCCCGUGGAGAGGAGGAGAUCCUGCGAGGGGAUCCAAUCGACGAGCGCAUGAUGCGGGCGAUUGGUCUUCUGACCAAGAUCCUUUCCGCUGAAUCCAGCCGAUGCGCCCAAGGAAAUCCAGCAGAUGUGUGGUGCGGGUGGGGAUCCAGCGGACGCGUGCGAUGAGGGUGACUAAAGGGCCGCUCCAUCGAGCCGAGGCAGGCAAUCUACCUGCAAGGUGGAGUACGAGGGAGGGGACAUGGGCGAUGGUCGACGCCUCAUCUGAUGGAAACUGCUCCAUUGAGACUUGAAAGACGCAAUUAUACUUCGGCCGUUAUACUUCAUUUUCUGAGCGCCCAUUCAUGGCGAGUGAUGUGCUGAUCCUUUCCGGCGCCGAGUGGUGCAACAUAUCUUUUCGCCAGCACCUUCUCGUUGCAGCAUGGUGGCCACGCCUGACGGCUUUACUGUUCAUGGUAGAGCAGUGAUCAGCGGCAAGAGAGAUGGGGGAAAUAAUAGGGUUUACAAGUAGGUACAAAUCUUCAGAGACUAUAAACACCAGGUCUGGAGGGUUGAAACAGAUUCCAAGCACAUCUUCUUGGGAUGCAAAGAACGAAUUUAAGUUGGUAUUUCUUAAUUAAUUGAACACCAGGUCAGGAGAGUUGAAACAGAUUCCAAGCACUGAGUCAUGGUGGAGCUGAUGUGUUCUUUCUAUACGUAUUCCCUGGGAGAUGAUCACUUAAUCUGUAAAAUUUCAUAGUACCCGCUGGGAGAGUUCAUGCAGAUUUUCUUCCUCAUGUAUAAUUAUAAGUUGUCUAUUCACAAACGUUCAGUUCAGCUGCUGCAGAUGAUGCUUGGUUAUUGAGGUACUGCCAGUACAUAUGUUAACUCUAAACUGGACCAUUGAUUCAGCAACACUACUUUUUGUUUGACUGUAUCUUCAGCAAGGGUACUCUUAUUUCAUGAUUCUAUACUGAACCACUGGUUUUUGCUCGAGCUGUACUAUAGACUCUUAAUUGUGAUUUUUUUGAAGCAAAUUUCAUAUCUGCCACUUACGAGAAAUUUAGAUAAUCGUAGGCUUUUCAGAAGCUUUUGACCUUAGAACGAAGGCUCUUAAGAAGCUGCACUACAUGAAUAUGUGGAUAUCACAUGUAUGUUUUUCUUUCUUUAAAUUUCUGAUGCUUAUGAAUCGUCCGAUGUAAGUAGUUAGCAAGUAUGGAAGAUAAUGUAUGUUUUGAUCUGUCGAGAGAUGCUUUUUCGCUCCUAUUUCAUUUUGGCUUCGCCUCCAAAAUAUUUCAUUGGUUCUUGCACAUCUUGGCUACUUGAUUUCUGUAACUUUUGCAGUUUCAUUUCAUAUUUUCAUGUAAAAUGUGUGCUACAUUAAGUUUAUCUCAUAUCUAUGAGAAUACUGUGUAAUUAUAUGUAAUGAUACAACAUAUCUUUAUGUAAUUGAAUUUCU